AAACAGUAAAACCUGGAGAAGAUGUAAUUAUAGAGUGUAACCUCAGCGGGGUCAAAGUAAAAAAUAAUUUAGUUUGGUACAGACAGAGAUUGGACGACGUGCCUCUGGUUUUCGCAAGACAGUACGGGCAAAAUAAUUACACAUUUGUUGAUGGAUUUAAUGAUAAACGCUUCAGUGUUACUGUAAAUGACCAAACGUUUGAUCUCAACAUUAAUAAAAUAAUAAAGGAUGAUGAAGGAGAAUAUUUCUGUGGAGAACUGGAUGGAAGUUCACUAAAGUUCACAUCUGGAACACGUCUGCAGUUUGAAGGUAAAGUGAUGAAACCCUGUCCUACACCUGGAACACUUAACAAGAACACACACUCUGUUACACACCAGGGUUCAAACAGCAGAGAUGGAGAAGAUUGUGGCUCUGUUCAGGUGGCGUUCCUGUCCUUGCUCUCUAUUAUUAGAGUUGUUCUUGUCUCUGUUAUUUUUCCAAUAAUCCUGAUUUGUUUCAAAUUAAGAUUAAAAUAGGAAUUAAAAUACAAAUGCAAUAAAUUAAUAACUAUUUUGUUUAUAUUAUUCCAUAUGCAAUAUGUCAUUUAAAAUAUGAUACAGUUAAACAUUUAAUGAUGAUCCUGUAUGGCUUUAAUCCAUUGCGUUUCUUUUUACUCCCACUGGUUUGCUUAAAUAUUUAAAGAACAAUCAUACAUACAACAAAGUUCAACCAAAAUUAAUCAAAGGCUUAUAAUAACAAUAAUCUCUGUGCUUGAUAAGUCUCCUUCCAAAGAUAUGCAGAUUAGGCUGAUUGGCGUCAACAAAUUCACUCGUAGUGUGUGUAUGAGUGUGUGAGCACUGACCGGAGUUUGUACCAUGGUUGUAAAAAUUGGAAUAAAUUCCACAUUCACCAUUGAUCUCCACGGCUCAGAGUUCUACUACAGAGGUUCCUUGAUGCUUAAAUUAUUAUUAUUAUUGUUGUUUGGUUUUAAUGUUCAAUCGCCAUUAAGAUUUUAACAUUCAAUCGAGAUUCUAUAACUUUCAGAAAACAUACAGUACUUGACACGAACAAACCAAAAAAUCUCCAAAACUCAAACACACACUCUUUAUGGUUAGGCACUGAUCGCAAACUGAAGGAACCAUCUACCAGAACACAGCUAGCAGCUUUUGAUACGUACUAACACCCACAUUAGCAUUUCCUACACCUGCUACUACAGCGAAACACAUGGAAGUUAACUCCUUUAUAACUAACGUCAGCUUUUCUUUAGGUAGAACGGGAAUGUUCAUGUUAGCUUGUGAUAUAGCAGCCUGUGUGUUAGCUGUUAGCUUUACCUGUGUGCUGUGUUUGGGUCAAUUU
Long non-coding RNA from Clarias gariepinus (North African catfish), 1335 nucleotides. RefSeq lists it as uncharacterized. The record is from RefSeq and is a predicted model, not a curated record. Lineage: Eukaryota; Metazoa; Chordata; Actinopteri; Siluriformes; Clariidae. The transcript has 3 exons.